AGACACAGAGAGAUAAAAGCCAUCAUUCGCCAAGUCCCACUUUUGCUAUUUCAUUCACUUCAUUAUUAAAAUAAUACAUUCACUUAUUUAUUAAAAUAAUACACCUUUGCAAGUAUUUUUAAAAAUUCAGGUAGAACAAUUCAGAAAACUUCUUACUAUGGUUCUUACCCAGUCUGUGUAACCAGAGUUAUAAGUAUUCUAUCAUACUAUUUACUUUUUUCUUCUAAUUACCUCUUAAAAACUUACUGCUUCAUAUUGAUCAUUGUUUUUGUAUUAGCAGACCAAGUUAUUUUAUUCUUUUGAUUGCUGUAGAGAGGUCUAUGGCACUGAAUUAAUAAUACCAUGUGAUAAAUAUUUAUGUUGUUAUUACAAAAAUGCUGCAGUAGCCAACUUUACAUGUGUCUCUUUGGACAUGCUUUCAUUCAGUCAGUUACUUUCUCAUUUAGUAAGUACUUAGAUACUCCCUACCAUGAAUCAAGAACUGUUUUAGGAGCUGGAGAAAUAUCAGGUAAUCUAAUCAAUCUCAAUGUUUGAUCUGCUGUGACUUAUAUACUAAGUAGGUUUCAAUUAGUUUGUAGGAUAUGUGAUUCUGAGAUUCUGAUCAGUUCAAAGGAAGGGAAAGUAGAGGGGAAGCAAGCCUACCGGGAGAGGGCAUGUUCGUUUUGGGUUUUGUGUUUAGGAGUGCCCACAGAACAUGCUGUUUGGGAACAGAGAUGCGAAUGAAGUGGACAUGCAGACUAAAGGAAGCAUCUUGUAGGAGAGAAUGAAAUUAGAGGAAUCUAAAACUCAAGUGUUUAACCAAAUAA
Long non-coding RNA from Perognathus longimembris pacificus (Pacific pocket mouse), 806 nucleotides. RefSeq lists it as uncharacterized. The transcript has 2 exons. The record is from RefSeq and is a predicted model, not a curated record. Lineage: Eukaryota; Metazoa; Chordata; Mammalia; Rodentia; Heteromyidae.